This 544-nucleotide ribosomal RNA is filed under the name uncultured bacterium. Its description in RNAcentral is "bacterial SSU rRNA". It matches the Rfam family "Bacterial small subunit ribosomal RNA", at positions 773 to 1328 of the family's 1533-position model. The record is from RNAcentral.
AGGGAAUAGAUACCCGGGUAGUCCUGGCCCUAAACGCUGCUCGCUCGUUCUGCGGAGUAUCGACCCUCUGCGGACUAAAGCUAAACGCGGUAAGCGAGCCGCCUGGGUAGUACGAGCGCAAGCUUAAAACUCAAAGGAAUAGACGGGGACGUUGCACAAGCGGUGGAUCAUGUGGCUUAAUUCGUCGAUAAGCGAAGAACCUUACCCAGGCUAGAAACCAAACUGCAUCUCACCCGAAAGGGAGAGAGCCUUCGGGGGUGUUUGGCAGGUGAUGCAUGGUUGUCGUCAGUUCGUGGCUUGAGCUGUUCCCUUCAGUGGGGUAACGAACGCAACCCACGUUGUCUGUUAUAUAUGUCAGGCGAGACUGCCCCCUCACGGGGGGAGGAAGGUGUGGAUGACGCCAAAUCAGCAUGUCCCUUGAUGCCUGGGGCUGCACACGUGAUACAAUGGUAGGUAACAGAAGGACGCAAUACCGUAAGGUGGAGCAAAUCCCUAAACCCUACCCACGUACGGAUUGAGGUCUGCAACCGACCUCAUGAAGCCA